RNAcentral lists this transfer RNA (70 nucleotides) under Chonosia atrodorsalis. RNAcentral describes it as "tRNA-Lys". It matches the Rfam family "tRNA". From Rfam's summary of the family: Transfer RNA (tRNA) molecules are approximately 80 nucleotides in length. Their secondary structure includes four short double-helical elements and three loops (D, anti-codon, and T loops). The record is from RNAcentral. Lineage: Eukaryota; Metazoa; Arthropoda; Insecta; Hemiptera; Cicadidae.
CAUUAAGUGGCUGAAAGAAAGUAAUGGUCUCUUAAACCAAUAAAUAGUAAUUGACAAAUACUCUUAAUGA